Molecule: ribosomal RNA, 256 nt
Filed under: uncultured bacterium
Lineage: Bacteria
Description: partial 16S ribosomal RNA
Rfam family: Bacterial small subunit ribosomal RNA
Source: RNAcentral
CGUGAGAUGUUGGGUUAAGUCCCGCAACGAGCGCAACCCUUGUCUUCUGUUGCCAUCAGGUUAUGCUGGGCACUCUGAAGAGACUGCCGGUGAUAAACCGGAGGAAGGUGGGGAUGACGUCAAGUCAGCAUGGCCUUUAUGUCUGGGGCUACACACGUGCUACAAUGGCCGGUACAAACCGUCGCGAUACCGCAAGGUGGAGCUAAUCGGAGAAAGCCGGUCUCAGUUCGGAUAGCAGGCUGCAACUCGCCUGCUU